ACCCGCUGAAUUUAAGCAUAUAACUAAGCGGAGGAAAAGAAACUAACAAGGAUUCCCCUAGUAAGGGCGACUGAAGCGGGAUCAGCCCAGAUUGUAAACUGACCUUAAUUAAGGUUGGGUUGUAGUCUAAAGAGGCGACGCCAGGCAAGGUCCGGGGAGAAGUCCCUUGGAACAGGGCAUCGGAGAGGGUGACAAUCCCGUCUGUGCCUCGGACCGCGUCGUACGGUGCGUCUUCGACGAGUCGGUUUGCUUGGGAUUGCAGACCAAACGGGUGGUAAAUUCCAUCUAAGGCUAAAUACGGGUGGGAGACCGAUAGCGAACAAGUACCGUGAGGGAAAGAUGCAAAGAACUUUGAAAAGAGAGUUAAAAAGGGCCUGAAACUGGUAAGAGGGAACCGAACGGCAGAAGUGGUGAUGGGCGCGUAUUUUCCGCCGGGCUCUUGGCCGGCGUACUUGUGCGCGUCCGUAGGUCAGCGUGGGUUGGGGCGUGGGAGUCGUUCAUGGGAAGGUCUUCGGGCCAAUCUCGUGUUCAGGCCGCGCCUGAGACCUUCGGUGACGAAAUUCUUCCGUUCACCCCGUCUUGAAACACGGACCAAGGAGUCUAAAAUACGAGCGAGUGCGCCGGUGGCAACCCGGGGCGCGUAAUGAAAGUGAGACCGACGGUGGGAGGGCUUUACGUCCGCACCAUCAACCGACCACGAUCCUUCGGGUGAAAGGUUUGAGUGUAGCUUGUAUUUUGGGACCCAAAAGAUGGUGAACUAUGCCUGAAUAGGGCGAAGCCAGGGGAAACUCUGGUGGAGGCUCGUAGCGAUUCUGACGUGCAAAUCGAUCGUCAAAUUUGGGUAUAGGGGCGAAAGACUAAUCGAACCAUCUAGUAGCUGGUUCCCUCCGAAAUUUCCCUCAGGAUAGCAGCAAUCGAAGAGUUUUAUCAGGUAAAGCGAAUGAUUAGAGGCCUCAGGGGUGGAACGUCCUUGACCUAUUCUCAAACUUUAAAUGGGUAAGAGCCAGGGGUUGCUUAAGUGAACCCCUCGGUCGAAUCGCGGUUGCUAGUGGGCCACCCGGGGUAAGCUCGGUUGGCGAUGCGGGAUGAUCCGAACGUCGAGUUAAAGUGCCUCACUGCCCGCUCACCUAGAUCCCACAAAAGGUGUUGGUUCAUUUAGACAGCAGGACGGUGGCCAUGGAAGUCGGAACCCGCUAAGGAGUGUGUAACAACUCACCUGCCGAAUGGAUUAGCCCUGAAAAUGGAUGGCGCUGAAGCGAGCGACUUAUACUCGACCGUCACGGCAAGUGCGACGCCGUGAUGAGUAGGAGGGCGUGGGGCUCGUGGCGCAUCCCGCGGCGUGAGCCGGGGUGAAACGGGCUCUAGUGCAGAUCUUGGUGGUAGUAGC
Molecule: ribosomal RNA, 1387 nt
Filed under: Aureococcus anophagefferens
Lineage: Eukaryota; Pelagophyceae; Pelagomonadales; Pelagomonadaceae
Description: partial large subunit ribosomal RNA
Rfam family: Eukaryotic large subunit ribosomal RNA
Source: RNAcentral